UACGGAGGGUGCAAACGUUGCUCGGAAUCAUUGGGCGUAAAGCGCACGUAGGCGGCUCGCUAAGUCGGAUGUGAAAGCCCCGGGCUCAACCCGGGAAGUGCAUACGAAACUGGCGAACUUGAAUAUGGAAGAGGGUCGCGGAAUUCCCGGUGUAGAGGUGAAAUUCGUAGAUAUCGGGAGGAACACCAGUGGCGAAGGCGGCGACCUGGGCCAAUAUUGACGCUGAGGUGCGAAAGCGUGGGGAGCAAACAGG
Molecule: ribosomal RNA, 253 nt
Filed under: uncultured bacterium
Lineage: Bacteria
Description: partial 16S ribosomal RNA
Rfam family: Bacterial small subunit ribosomal RNA
Source: RNAcentral